AUUGAACGCUGGCGGCAGGCCUAACACAUGCAAGUCGAACGGUAACAGGAAACAGCUUGCUGUUUCGCUGACGAGUGGCGGACGGGUGAGUAAUGUCUGGGAAACUGCCUGAUGGAGGGGGAUAACUACUGGAAACGGUAGCUAAUACCGCAUAACGUCGCAAGACCAAAGAGGGGGACCUUCGGGCCUCUUGCCAUCGGAUGUGCCCAGAUGGGAUUAGCUAGUAGGUGGGGUAACGGCUCGCCUAGGCGACGAUCCCUAGCUGGUCUGAGAGGAUGACCAGCCACACUGGAACUGAGACACGGUCCAGACUCCUACGGGAGGCAGCAGUGGGGAAUAUUGCACAAUGGGCGCAAGCCUGAUGCAGCCAUGCCGCGUGUAUGAAGAAGGCCUUCGGGUUGUAAAGUACUUUCAGCGGGGAGGAAGGGAGUAAAGUUAAUACCUUUGCUCAUUGACGUUACCCGCAGAAGAAGCACCGGCUAACUCCGUG
Molecule: ribosomal RNA, 490 nt
Filed under: uncultured bacterium
Lineage: Bacteria
Description: partial 16S ribosomal RNA
Rfam family: Bacterial small subunit ribosomal RNA
Source: RNAcentral